AUAUCAAUAAGCGGAGGAAAAGAAACCAACAGGGAUUACCUCAGUAACGGCGAGUGAAGCGGUAACAGCUCAAAUUUGAAAUCUGGCUCUUUCAGGGUCCGAGUUGUAAUUUGUAGAAGAUGCUUCGGGUGUGGCUCCGGUCUAAGUUCCUUGGAACAGGACGUCAUAGAGGGUGAGAAUCCCGUAUGUGACUGGUUGCCUUCGCCCAUGUGAAGCUCUUUCGACGAGUCGAGUUGUUUGGGAAUGCAGCUCUAAAUGGGAGGUAUAUUUCUUCUAAAGCUAAAUAUUGGCCAGAGACCGAUAGCGCACAAGUAGAGUGAUCGAAAGAUGAAAAGCACUUUGGAAAGAGAGUUAAACAGUACGUGAAAUUGUUGAAAGGGAAGCGCUUGCAACCAGACUUGCAUGCCGUCGAUCAUCCUGGGUUCUCCCUGGUGCACUCGGCGGCGUUCAGGCCAGCAUCGGUUUCGGUGGUUGGAUAAAGGCCUUGGGAAUGUGGCUCCUCUCGGGGAGUGUUAUAGCCCUCGGUGCAAUGCAGCCUACCGGGACCGAGGACCGCGCUUCGGCUAGGAUGCUGGCGUAAUGGUUGUAAGCGACCCGUCUUGAAACACGGACCAAGGAGUCUAACAUCUAUGCGAGUGUUUGGGUGUUAAACCCAUACGCGUAAUUAACGUGAACGGAGGUGAGAACCCUUUAGGGUGCAUCAUCGACCGAUCCUGAUGUCUUCGGAUGGAUUUGAGUAAGAGCAUAGCUGUUGGGACCCGAAAGAUGGUGAACUAUGCCUAAAUAGGGUGAAGCCAGAGGAAACUCUGGUGGAGGCUCGCAGCGGUUCUGACGUGCAAAUCGAUCGUCAAAUUUGGGUAUAGGGGCGAAAGACUAAUCGAACCAUCUAGUAGCUGGUUCCUGC
Molecule: ribosomal RNA, 904 nt
Filed under: Hymenoscyphus globus
Lineage: Eukaryota; Fungi; Ascomycota; Leotiomycetes; Helotiales; Helotiaceae
Description: eukaryotic LSU rRNA
Rfam family: Eukaryotic large subunit ribosomal RNA
Source: RNAcentral